Molecule: ribosomal RNA, 253 nt
Filed under: uncultured bacterium
Lineage: Bacteria
Description: partial 16S ribosomal RNA
Rfam family: Bacterial small subunit ribosomal RNA
Source: RNAcentral
GACGGAGGAUGCAAGCGUUAUCCGGAAUCACUGGGCGUAAAGCGUCUGUAGGUGGUUUAAUAAGUCAACUGUUAAAUCUUGAGGCUCAACCUCAAAAUCGCAGUCGAAACUAUUAGGCUAGAGUAUAGUAGGGGUAAAGGGAAUUUCCAGUGGAGCGGUGAAAUGCGUAGAGAUUGGAAAGAACACCGAUGGCGAAGGCACUUUACUGGGCUAUUACUGACACUCAGAGACGAAAGCUAGGGGAGCAAAUGGG